GCGGUAUANUAGGCGCNAGCNUGUCCGGAAUAUUGGCGUAANGGAGCGUANGGGGGGAAGUAAUUCUUUUUAAAAUUCNGGGNUCAGCCCCGUGAUGGAAAGAAACUACNANUCUUGAGUGCCGGAGAGGAAAAGCGGAAUUCCCAGUGUAGCGGUGAAAUGCGUAGAUAUUGGGAAGAACACCAGUGGCGAAGGCGGCUUUCUGGACGGCAACUGACACUGAGGCUCGAAAGCCAGGGUAGCGAACGGGAUUAGAUACCCCGGUAGUCCUGGCCGUAAACGAUGGAUACUAGGUGUAGGAGGUAUCGACCCCUUCUGUGCCGGAGUUAACGCAAUAAGUAUCCCGCCUGGGGAGUACGGUCGCAAGACUGAAACUCAAAGGAAUUGACGGGGGCCCGCACAAGCGGUGGAGUAUGUGGUUUAAUUCG
RNAcentral lists this ribosomal RNA (428 nucleotides) under uncultured bacterium. Its description in RNAcentral is "partial 16S ribosomal RNA". It matches the Rfam family "Bacterial small subunit ribosomal RNA", at positions 517 to 953 of the family's 1533-position model. The record is from RNAcentral.